RNAcentral lists this ribosomal RNA (460 nucleotides) under uncultured bacterium. RNAcentral's name for it is "bacterial SSU rRNA". It matches the Rfam family "Bacterial small subunit ribosomal RNA", at positions 28 to 524 of the family's 1533-position model. The record is from RNAcentral.
GAUGAAUGCUGGCGGCGUGCCUGAUACAUGCAAGUCGAGCGGUAAGGCCCUUCGGGGUACACGAGCGGCGGACGGCUGAGUAACGCGUGGGGAACAUGCCCCAAAGUGAGGGAUAACGCACCGAAAGGUGUGCUAAUACCGCAUAUGGUCUUCGGAUUAAAGGAUUUAUCCGCUUUGGGAGUGGCCCGCGUACGAUUAGAUUGUUGGUGAGGUAACGGCUCACCAAGUCGACGAUCGUUAACUGGUCUGAGAGGAUGAUCAGUCAGACUGGAACUGAGACACGGUCCAGACUCCUACGGGAGGCAGCAGUAAGGAAUCUUCCACAAUGGGCGAAAGCCUGAUGGAGCAACGCCGCGUGCAGGAUGAAGGCCCUCGGGUCGUAAACUGCUUUAUGAGUGAAGAAUAUGACGGUAACUCAUGAAUAAGCACCGGCUAACUACGUGCCAGCAGCCGCGGUAAU